GACGCUGGCGGUAGGCUUAACACAUGCAAGUCGUGCGAGAAAGUAUCUUCGGAUAUGAGUAGAGCGGCGGACGGGUGAGUAACGCGUAGGAAUCUACCUAGUAGAAGGGGAUAGCCCGGGGAAACUCGGAUUAAUACCGUAUACCUCCUUCGGGAGAAAGAAGGCCUCUCUUUGAAGCUUUCGCUAUUAGAUGAGCCUGCGUAAGAUUAGCUUGUUGGUGAGGUAAAGGCUCACCAAGGCGACGAUCUUUAGCGGGUCUGAGAGGACGAUCCGCCACAUUGGGACUGAGACACGGCCCAGACUCCUACGGGAGGCAGCAGUGGGGAAUAUUGGACAAUGGGCGCAAGCCUGAUCCAGCCAUACCGCGUGUGUGAAGAAGGCCCUAGGGUUGUAAAGCACUUUAAGUUGGGAAGAAAAGUUAUUGGUUAAUAUCCAAUAACCGUGACAUUACCAUCAGAAUAAGGACCGGCUAAUUCCGUGCCAGCAGCCGCGGUAAUACGGAAGGUCCAAGCGUUAAUCGGAAUUACUGGGCGUAAAGCGCGCGUAGGUGGUUUAUUAAGUUGGAUGUGAAAUCCCCGGGCUCAACCUGGGAACUGCAUCCAAAACUGAUUCACUAGAGUACGAUAGAGGGAGGUAGAAUUCACAGUGUAGCGGUGGAAUGCGUAGAUAUUGUGAAGAAUACCAAUGGCGAAGGCAGCCUCCUGGAUCUGUACUGACACUGAGGUGCGAAAGCGUGGGUAGCGAACAGGAUUAGAUACCCUGGUAGUCCACGCCGUAAACGAUGUCAACUAGCUGUUGGAGAACUAUGUUCUUCAGUGGCGCAGCUAACGUAGUAAGUUGACCGCCUGGGGAGUACGGCCGCA
RNAcentral lists this ribosomal RNA (863 nucleotides) under uncultured Gammaproteobacteria bacterium. Its description in RNAcentral is "bacterial SSU rRNA". It matches the Rfam family "Bacterial small subunit ribosomal RNA", at positions 32 to 890 of the family's 1533-position model. The record is from RNAcentral. Lineage: Bacteria; Pseudomonadati; Pseudomonadota; Gammaproteobacteria.